GACGAACGCUGGCGGCGUGCCUAACACAUGCAAGUCGAGCGGAGUCGAUUGACGGAAGCCUUCGGGCGGAAGAUGGUUGACUUAGCGGCGGAUGGGUGAGUAACGCGUGGGCAACCUGCCUCGAAGACCGGGAUAACAGCCCGAAAGGGCUGCUAAUACCGGAUGUGGUCAAGGAUCCGCAUGGAUUUUUUGAUUAAAGGGGAAACCCGUUUCGAGAUGGGCCCGCGUCCUAUCAGCUAGUUGGUGAGGUAAAAGCUCACCAAGGCGACGACGGGUAGCCGGCCUGAGAGGGUGACCGGCCACACUGGAACUGAGACACGGUCCAGACUCCUACGGGGGGCAGCAGUGGGGAAUCUUCCACAAUGGGCGAAAGCCUGAUGGAGCGACGCCGCGUGAGCGAAGAAGGCCUUCGGUUGUAAGCUCUUUCGGCCGGGAAAAAUACGCAUCAGUUAAUACCUGGUGUGGAUGAUGGUACCGGAAUAAGAAGCACCGGCUAACUACGUGCCAGCAGCCGCGGUAAAG
RNAcentral lists this ribosomal RNA (522 nucleotides) under uncultured bacterium. RNAcentral's name for it is "bacterial SSU rRNA". It matches the Rfam family "Bacterial small subunit ribosomal RNA", at positions 28 to 525 of the family's 1533-position model. The record is from RNAcentral.